CCUGGCUCAGAACGAACGCUGGCGGCGUGCUUAACACAUGCAAGUCGAACGCGAAAGGGACUUCGGUCCUGAGUAAAGUGGCGCACGGGUGAGUAACGCGUAGAUAACCUGUCUUCAUGUCUGGAAUAAUACGCCGAAAGGGGUACUAAUACCGGAUAUUCUUGCUUUUCAUAAGUUAUGCAAGCAAAGGUGGCCUCUGCAUAUGCUACUGCAUGAAGAGGGGUCUGCGUACCAUUAGCUAGUAGGUGGGGUAAUGGCCUACCUAGGCGACGAUGGUUAGCGGGUCUGAGAGGAUGAUCCGCCACACUGGCACUGGAACACGGGCCAGACUCCUACGGGAGGCAGCAGUGAGGAAUAUUGCGCAAUGGGGGAAACCCUGACGCAGCGACGCCGCGUGAGUGAGGAAGGCCUUCGGGUCGUAAAGCUCUGUCAAGAGGAAAGAAGUGUACAAUGGCUAAUACCUGUUGUAUUUGACGGUACCUCUAAAGGAAGCACCGGCUAACUCCGUGCCAGCCGCCGC
Molecule: ribosomal RNA, 520 nt
Filed under: uncultured bacterium
Lineage: Bacteria
Description: bacterial SSU rRNA
Rfam family: Bacterial small subunit ribosomal RNA
Source: RNAcentral